CAGCAGUAGCCACGGUAAUACGUAGGUGGCAAGCGUUGUCCGGAAUUAUUGGGCGUAAAGGGCUCGCAGGCGGUUUCUUAAGUCUGAUGUGAAAGCCCCCGGCUCAACCGGGGAGGGUCAUUGGAAACUGGGAAACUUGAGUGCAGAAGAGGAGAGUGGAAUUCCACGUGUAGCGGUGAAAUGCGUAGAGAUGUGGAGGAACACCAGUGGCGAAGGCGACUCUCUGGUCUGUAACUGACGCUGAGGAGCGAGAGCGUGGGGAGCGAACAGGAUUAGAUACCCCCGUAGUCCCUGUCUCUUAUAC
Molecule: ribosomal RNA, 304 nt
Filed under: uncultured bacterium
Lineage: Bacteria
Description: partial 16S ribosomal RNA
Rfam family: Bacterial small subunit ribosomal RNA
Source: RNAcentral